UACGUAGGGUGCGAGCGUUGUCCGGAAUUAUUGGGCGUAAAGGGCUCGUAGGCGGUCUGUUGCGUCGGGAGUGAAAACUCAGGGCUUAACCCUGAGCCUGCUUCCGAUACGGGCAGACUAGAGGUAUGCAGGGGAGAACGGAAUUCCUGGUGUAGCGGUGAAAUGCGCAGAUAUCAGGAGGAACACCAGUGGCGAAGGCGGGUCUCUGGGCCGAUACUGACGCUGAGGAGCGAAAGCGUGGGGAGCGAACAGG
RNAcentral lists this ribosomal RNA (253 nucleotides) under uncultured bacterium. RNAcentral describes it as "partial 16S ribosomal RNA". It matches the Rfam family "Bacterial small subunit ribosomal RNA", at positions 524 to 776 of the family's 1533-position model. The record is from RNAcentral.